UCCCCUCUCUGUGAUCUUUACCCUGA
Molecule: non-coding RNA, 26 nt
Filed under: Rattus norvegicus (Norway rat)
Lineage: Eukaryota; Metazoa; Chordata; Mammalia; Rodentia; Muridae
Source: RNAcentral